This 276-nucleotide ribosomal RNA is filed under the name Entamoeba dispar. RNAcentral's name for it is "partial small subunit ribosomal RNA". It matches the Rfam family "Eukaryotic small subunit ribosomal RNA", at positions 1403 to 1614 of the family's 1831-position model. Lineage: Eukaryota; Evosea; Mastigamoebida; Endamoebidae. The record is from RNAcentral.
UCUAAUUUCGAUUAGAACUCUUUUAACGUGGGAAAAAGAAAAAGGAAGCAUUCAGCAAUAACAGGUCUGUGAUGCCCUUAGACAUCUUGGGCCGCACGCGCGCUACAAUGGAGUUACUAGAGAGCAUUUUAUCAUUUACACCUUAUUUAUUAGGCUAUGUCUAAUAGGUAGGGAGAAAGCUUGGUGUAGGGAAAAAGAAAUAGUUAAGGACAACUCAACAGAUCGUACAUGACAGGGAUUAAUGAUUGGAAUUAUUUGUUUUGAACGAGGAAUUCC